GCAAGGCGUUAUGAACGAGCAAGAAAACGUUCAGAGCCACUAGGCUGCGUCGGCUCCUCAUUUGAAAGGAAUGGCUUUCCUGCAUGACAUGGACCUCUCAGCAAGCAAGAUGGCGGAACUAUGUGCAACUCUGCUACCUAAAGGUAGCAUACACACUUGCUCAUCUUUCCACCCGACACAUACAUUGGGUGAUCCUGCAGGUCCGUAUGUCACCAGCCCUUUCUGCAAGAUGUCCUCGGUCAACCUAACGCAGCCGCAGUCCAUCUUCAUGCUAGUGACCUUCUCGUUUCGAUGAACCCUUGCUUGAAGAUCCGCAAUGAUUCGCCUUGGCGACUUGUGCAUCUGGCACAUUCAAAGAAGCUCUGCUCGUUCGCUUACGUCACCCACCCUUUGCUUCUGGAACUGCCGGGGUCGAACAUCCUUCAUAAGAGUAUUGGGACUCUAUGCUUGGCGGUCUGCAGUGACACGGCCCCUCGACCUUCAAUCUCGCCGAUAGACGCUGCAUACAAACCCGCAUAGCCUUCCACGUCCAGCCUGUGCCUCUUGGGGGGCAAGACCAUCCCUGUCCUGCUGCCAG
Rhipicephalus microplus (southern cattle tick) is the source of this 577-nucleotide long non-coding RNA. NCBI's taxonomy places the organism in Eukaryota, Metazoa, Arthropoda, Arachnida, Ixodida, Ixodidae. The record is from RefSeq and is a predicted model, not a curated record.